RNAcentral lists this ribosomal RNA (271 nucleotides) under uncultured archaeon. Its description in RNAcentral is "partial 16S ribosomal RNA". It matches the Rfam family "Archaeal small subunit ribosomal RNA", at positions 477 to 747 of the family's 1478-position model. The record is from RNAcentral.
CAGCGCCACAAGUGGCAAUCACGUUUAUUGGGCCUAAAGCGUCCGUAGCCGGUUUAGCAAAUCUUUUGUGAAAGUGUCAAGCUUAACUUGACGAGUUGCAGAAGACACUACUAAACUCGAGACUGGGAGGAGUCAGAAGUAUUCCAAGGGGAUCGGUAAAAUGAUAUAAUCCCUGGAGGACUACCGAUGGCGAAGGCAUCUGACCAGAACAGAUCUGACGGUGAGGGACGAAAGCCAGGGGAGCAAACCGGAUUAGAGACCCGAGUAGUCC